This 448-nucleotide ribosomal RNA is filed under the name uncultured bacterium. RNAcentral describes it as "bacterial SSU rRNA". It matches the Rfam family "Bacterial small subunit ribosomal RNA", at positions 329 to 793 of the family's 1533-position model. The record is from RNAcentral.
UUCCAGACUCCUACGGGAGGCAGCAGUGGGGGAUAUUGCACAAUGGGGGAAACCCUGAUGCAGCGACGCCGCGUGUGGGAAGACGGUCCUCUGGAUUGUAAACCACUGUCCCCAGGGACGAAGAUGACGGUACCUGGGGAGGAAGCUCCGGCUAACUACGUGCCAGCAGCCGCGGUAAUACGGAGGAUGCGAGCGUUAUCCGGAUUUACUGGGUGUAAAGGGAGCGUAGACGGCAGUGCAAGUCUGAAGUGAAAGGCGGGGGCCCAACCCCCGGACUGCUUUGGAAACUGUGCUGCUGGAGUGCAGGAGAGGCAAGUGGAAUUCCUAGUGUAGCGGUGAAAUGCGUAGAUAUUAGGAGGAACACCAGUGGCGAAGGCGGCUUGCUGGACUGUAACUGACGUUGAGGCUCGAAAGCGUGGGGAGCAAACAGGAUUAGAUACCCGUGUAA